UCAAGCGAACAAGGGCGCAGGGCGAAUGCCUUGGCACUGGGAGCCGAUGAAAGACGUGAUAAGCUGCGAUAAGCUUCGGGGAGCUGCAAAUAAGCAUUGAUCCGGAGAUUUCUGAAUGAGGAAACUCACCUGGGUUCAUACUCAGGUACGUUAUACUGAACUUCAAAAUAGGUAUAUCGAGGGAACCGCCUGAACUGAAACAUCUAAGUAGGGCGAGGAAGAGACAUCAAACGAGAUUCCGUAAGUAGUGGCGAGCGAACGCGGAAGAGGGCAAACCGAGAGUAGAAAUACUUUCGGGGUACGGACUGCUUUUAAGACUCAAUCUGUUAACCGAACGGCAUGGGAAGGCCGGUCAGAGAGUGUGAGAACCACGUAGGUGAAAACGGAGAGAGCUGCGCAGGAUCCAGAGUACGGCCAGACACGUGAAACCUGGUCGGAAUACGGGGGGACCACCCUCCAACCCUAAAUACUACCCAGUGACCGAUAGCGUAUAGUACUGUGAAGGAAAGGUGAAAAGCACCCCGGGAGGGGAGUGAAAAAGAACCUGAAACCCUGUGCCUACAAGCACCUAGAGCACGUCAAUGUGUGAUAGGGUACUUUUUGUAGAACGGUCCGGCGAGCGAUUGUAUGCAGCAAGGUUAAGGACUUAAGGUCUGGAGCCGAAGCGAAAGCGAGUUUGAAAAGGGCGUUAAGUUGCAUACAAUGGGCCCGAAACCGGGUGACCUACCCAUGGUCAGGUUGAAGUGGAAGUAAAAUUCCAUGGAGGACCGAACCGACCUCCGUUGAAAAGGCGGCGGAUGAACUGUGGGUAGCGGAGAAAUUCCAAUCGAACCCGGAGAUAGCUGGUUCUCCCCGAAAUAGUUUUAGGACUAGCCUCAAGUUAGAUACCUGGAGGUAAAGCACUGAAUAGCCUAGCGGCCGAGAGGUUAGCGAAGCUUAUCAAACUCAGAAUGCCAGAGUAUUGAUGCUUGGGAGUCAGACAGUGUCAGAUAAAUGUCAUUGUCAAAAGGGAAACAGCCCAGAUCUACAGCUAAGGUCCCAAAGUCAGGUUAAGUGGAAAACGAUGUGAAGAUACGUAGACAACCAGGAUGUUGGCUCAGAAGCAGCCACUCAUUCAAAGAGUGCGUAAUAGCUCACUGGUCGAGCGUCUUUGCGCGGAGAAUUUAACGGGGCUAAACCUGACACCGAAGCUUAGGCAAUACAGCAAUGUAUUGGGUAGGGGAGCGUUGUAUACGCGGUGAAACAGUAGCGCAAGCGGCUGUGGAGUGUAUAGAAGUGAGAAUGCCGGAAUGAGUAGCGCGAAUGCAGUGAGAAUCUGCAUGGCCGAAAGCCUCAGGUUUCUGGAGGAAGGUUCGUCCGCUCCAGGUUAGUCGGGAGCUAAGGUGAGGCCUAACGGCGUAGCCGAUGCACAGACGGUAGAGAUUCCGUCACCACCAAAAGAGUUAAACACAGGGACACAUAUGAAGUCUCGGAGCCGGGUGUUGGUUCCGGUAGCGAUCGAGGGAAGUUAGUACCGAAGUCUGAGAUGGAAGAUGGCGAGAAAAGCUGUGUGUAUUUCUGCGGUGCCCGUACCGCAAACCGACACAGGUAGGUAGGAAGAAGAUUCUAAGGCCAACGGGAGAAGGGUUGUUAAGGAACUCGGCAAAUUGACCCCGUAACUUCGGGAGAAGGGGUGCUCCAGAGAUGGAGCCGCAGAGAAUCGGCCCAAGCAACUGUUUACCAAAAACACAGGUUUGUGCUAAAUCGAAAGAUGACGUAUACGAGCUGACGCCUGCCCGGUGCUGGAAGGUUAAGAGGAGAUGUGCAAGCAUUGAAUCGAAGCCCCAGUGAACGGCGGCCGUAACUAUAACGGUCCUAAGGUAGCGAAAUUCCUUGUCAGGUAAGUUCUGACCCGCAUGAAAGGCGUAAUGAUUUGGGCACUGUCUCAACAGCCCGCCCGGCGAAAUUGUAGUACCGGUGAAGAUGCCGGUUACCCGCGACAAGACGGAAAGACCCCAUGGAGCUUUACUGUAGCCUAAUAUUGGGUUUCGAUGUUGCAUGCACAGGAUAGAUGGGACACAGGGAAACAAGUGCUUUGGCAUUUGUGGAGUGGCCGUUGGGAUACCAUCCUUGCGAUAUUGGAAUUCUAACCUGCGCCUUUGAAUCAAGGCGGGGGACAUUGUUAGGUGGGCAGUUUGACUGGGGCGGUCGCCUCCUAAAGAGUAACGGAGGCGUUCAAAGGUUCGCUCAGCUUGAACGGAAAUCAAGCAAAAGAGUGCAAACGCAGAAGCGAGCCUAACUGCGAGACUGACGGGUCGAGCAGUAACGAAAGUUGGAGUUAGUGAUCCGGUGGUAUGUGAGUGGAAAUGCCAUCGCUCAACGGAUAAAAGUUACCCUGGGGAUAACAGGCUGAUCUCCCCCAAGAGUCCACAUCGACGGGGAGGUUUGGCACCUCGAUGUCGGCUCAUCGCAUCCUGGGGCUGUAUUCGGUCCCAAGGGUUUGGCUGUUCGCCAAUUAAAGCGGUACGCGAGCUGGGUUCAGAACGUCGUGAGACAGUUCGGUCCCUAUCUGUCGUGGGCGCAGGAUAUUUGAUGGGAGCUGUUCCUAGUACGAGAGGACCGGAGCGGACGUACCUCUGGCGCACCAGUUGUUCUGCCAAGGGCAUAGCUGGGCAACUAUGUACGGAUCGGAUAAACGCUGAAAGCAUCUAAGCGUGAAGCCGACCCAAAGAUAAGAUAUCCCAUUGUUUCAAACAAGUAAGACCCCUUGAAGACUACAAGGUUGAUAGGCACGAUGUGUAAGUGGAG
Molecule: ribosomal RNA, 2787 nt
Filed under: gut metagenome
Description: bacterial LSU rRNA
Rfam family: Bacterial large subunit ribosomal RNA
Source: RNAcentral